This 461-nucleotide ribosomal RNA is filed under the name Enterobacter hormaechei. RNAcentral describes it as "bacterial SSU rRNA". It matches the Rfam family "Bacterial small subunit ribosomal RNA", at positions 656 to 1116 of the family's 1533-position model. The record is from RNAcentral. Lineage: Bacteria; Pseudomonadati; Pseudomonadota; Gammaproteobacteria; Enterobacterales; Enterobacteriaceae.
GGGGAGUGGAAUUCCACGUGUAGCGGUGAAAUGCGUAGAGAUCUGGAGGAACACCGGUGGCGAAGGCGACCCCCUGGACUGUGACUGACGCUCAGGAGCGAAAGCGUGGGGAGCAAACAGGAUUAGAUACCCUGGUAGUCCACGCCGUAAACGAUGUCUACUUGGAGGUUGUGCCCUUGAGGCGCGUCUUCCUGAGCUAACGCGUUAAGUCAACCGCCUGGGGAAUACCGCCGCCAGGAUAAAACUCCAAUGAAUUGGCCGGGGCCCGCACCAGCCGUGGAACAUGUGGUUUAAUUCCAUGCAACCCCAAAAACCCUACCUACUCUUGACCUCCCUAGAACUUACCAGAAAUGCUUUCGUGCCUUCCGGAACUCUAAUACCGGUGCUGCCUGGCUGUCCUCCACUCCUGUUCUGAAAAGUUGGGUUAAGUCCCGCAACCAACGCAACCCUUAUCCUUUGUU